RNAcentral lists this ribosomal RNA (474 nucleotides) under uncultured Syntrophus sp. Its description in RNAcentral is "bacterial SSU rRNA". It matches the Rfam family "Bacterial small subunit ribosomal RNA", at positions 908 to 1382 of the family's 1533-position model. Lineage: Bacteria; Pseudomonadati; Thermodesulfobacteriota; Syntrophia; Syntrophales; Syntrophaceae. The record is from RNAcentral.
AAUUGACGGGGGCCCGCACAAGCGGUGGAGCAUGUGGUUUAAUUCGAUGCAACGCGAAGAACCUUACCUGGGCUUGACAUCCCGAGAAUCCCCUGGAAACAGGGGAGUGCCUUUCGGGGAACUCGGAGACAGGUGCUGCAUGGCUGUCGUCAGCUCGUGUCGUGAGAUGUUGGGUUAAGUCCCGCAACGAGCGCAACCCUUGUCUUUAAUUGCCAGCAUUCAGUUGGGCACUUUAAAGAGACUGCCGGUGUUAAGCCGGAGGAAGGUGGGAUGACGUCAAGUCCUCAUGGCCUUUAUGCCCAGGGCUACACACGUGCUACAAUGGGUGGUACAAAGAGAUGCCAACUCGCGAGAGCGCGCCAAUCUCAGAAAGCCAUCCUCAGUUCGGAUUGGAGUCUGCAACUCGACUCCAUGAAGUUGGAAUCGCUAGUAAUCGCGGAUCAGCACGCCGCGGUGAAUACGUUCCCGGGCCUU